UACGAAGGGGGCUAGCGUUGUUCGGAUUUACUGGGCGUAAAGGGUGCGCAGGUGGCCAAGUGUGUCAGGUGUGAAAUCCCGGGGCUUAACUCCGGAACUGCGUCUGAAACUACUCGGCUAGAGUACUGGAGAGGGUAACGGAAUUCACGGUGUAGCAGUGAAAUGCGUAGAUAUCGUGAGGAACACCAGAGGCGAAGGCGGUUACCUGGACAGUUACUGACGCUCAGGCACGAAAGCGUGGGGAGCAAAAGGG
Molecule: ribosomal RNA, 253 nt
Filed under: uncultured bacterium
Lineage: Bacteria
Description: partial 16S ribosomal RNA
Rfam family: Bacterial small subunit ribosomal RNA
Source: RNAcentral